UUCUGAAUCACGACCAGUAGUCUGAAGAUGUAGUUGUUGUGUGUUGAUACUGAUAUAAAUGAGGAAGAGGAAACUUUGUCUCAGGUGACAUAAUCGGGUCAGGGAUCAUUGUGAGCCCAAAGGGCGUUAUGGAGAAUGCCAGCUCUGUGGGGCUGGCUCUCGUAGUGUGGAUUGUCACCGGAGUGAUCACAGCCAUUGGUGCACUGCUUUGCUGAACUGGGCGCCACUAUCCCCAAAUCUGGAGGAGACUACUUAUACGUCAAGGUCUUUGGGAGGACUUGUUGGGCUUCACAGCAUAUCCCCCUUCUUUACCUUGGGAAAGCUGAUUUUUCUAUGAUGGCAUUCCUGCUGUGAUGGUUGCCUGGGAAGCUGUGCAGAACAGGCUCCUGGACCUCCUCUUCAACUAGGUCACCCUUGAUCCAGCGCUGUAUGUGGGGAAGCUGUGCAAGCUGUCCAUCGCAGAACCCCUGUGCCCAGUGUGAGAGGCCUCCACGACAGAGGCCUGACAAGGAGGAAGCCCUAGCUGGAUUUGUCUCCCGCUUCAAUCUUGGGAAUGACUGAAGCCAAGUGUGUGACUGAAGCCUGCAUAAUUGAAGCAGGGUACAUGGGUCCCCCUCCUCUCCCGCUCCCCUCCCAUCAAUCUCUGUAGUUGGUUGCAUUUGCUAAAGCAAUGAUCUUUUACGUCAUAAGAUAUCACCUUUUGUUAGUUUUUAUAGUUUUUUUUUCAAGCAUUCUAAUGGGAGAUGAGUGUUACAAAUUGUACAAAUGAAUGAGAUCCUGCACACUGUAGGGUGGCCAAGUGCCUAUAUUAGGCUCUAUGCCUCUAAUAUAUUUGUUUCUCAUUCAAAUUAUGUCAUACCAUUAUUUCUCAUGGGUGUUCAAGUUGAUCAAUAUUUUGGCUAUGUUGGCCUAUUGUAAAUUAGCGAAUAACUGUCUGAUCA
Long non-coding RNA from Oncorhynchus tshawytscha (Chinook salmon), 941 nucleotides. The record is from Ensembl. Lineage: Eukaryota; Metazoa; Chordata; Actinopteri; Salmoniformes; Salmonidae.